CCCAGCUCCUACUCAGGAUGGAGUUGCUCUGGUUCACAUGCCUCUGAGAGAAGCAUGUGUGCCCACUUUGACCAAAUCUGUCAGGGGCACCUGCACCGUCUAGCCCUGCCAGCCACUGGCCUGCUCCCAUGGUGGGUUCCCUCCCAAAGCCCCUGAGCGCUUCCUCUCUUCACCUGCUUCCCACCCACACACGCUCGGUGCUCCAGCCACAGGCACCCCGCCCAGAUUCCUCCCCAUCUCCAUACCUUCAGCCAUGCCUGGCAUGCUGGCACCCUCCUGCCUCCCCCACCCCAACCCAGCCACCUGCAAACUCCUCCAAGCUCCAGCUCAAGCCUUUACUGCCCUAGGAAGCUUGCCCUGGGAGGCUCAGACAGAAAAGACGCAACCAGCUUACUAUUCAGUGAGCCUCUCUCCCUAGCAGGGAAGUGAGGAAGCCCCUGCCACUGAGACCCGACGAUCCUGCCCGGCAGGGCUGCCAGUCUCCAGCGCACUGUGGCACUCAUACUGAGGACAGGGUCAUGCCCCUGGUAAUUAUGACUUCACAUCUAUUUAACCGUGUGCCAGGCACUGUGCUAGGAGCCUUGCUCAACUCAUCCAAUCCUCAGCCUCAGCCUAGAACUCAGACACUCCCGUUAUCCAGGGCACAGAGUAGGCAAAGCCACAAGGCUGCUGCUGCAAAGGAGGAUGGCACGGGCAAACACAGGCUGGGAUGGGUGAAAGGGUCUCUUAAGGAAAUGAGGUGCAGUCGGGCCUGGAAGAGCAGCAGAAUGUGUGUCCGGCCCUGCCACACGCCUGGAUCCCAGAGCAAGAUGGAGCCAGCAGCCACCCCUGUCUGCCACCCUGGCCUUCUCUCCAGGACUCCUGGCUUCCCCCUCGAUUACCCCUGCCUGACACCCUAUGCUAGCAACCAGAGACUGUUUCUGCCUGGCUGCCCCCAGCUCCUUGAACAUGCAGCCUGGGUUCCAGAGGGAGGUCAUACGGCCUGUCAGAGACCACCAGGGAAGCAUCACAGAUCGCAGCCAGCGGGCGAGCUCAGCUGGGGGUUUGCACCAAGCAUGGCUCCAGAGUGAGGCCUGGCUGAUGCAGGCUGGGACCACCCUGCAUGGACCAGCAGUGUGGAAAUGGCCAUCACAACCACCAUGCUCAGACCUUAGACACCGGCUUCUCUGCGCCUGGGGAUGGUGGAGCCGGGGAGCUGCCGCGGGCCUGAGGGAGGAUGCGAAGCUCCAGGCUGCCCCCUGCUGCCUCCGGAGUGUGCUGCAGUCUUGGCCAAUGUGGACUUGAACACAACCUGCUCCGAUCUUCAGAAAUAUUACCCACGAGACCUGCUUUCUCCCAAAAUGCAUUCGGCUGCCCACCCAUGGGAUGUUACAGAAUAAAGAUAAUAAAGCUAUGCUCCAGAUCAUGUUCCCAAUGCCAAAAAUCUCCCCAACUCCCAGAAUCUAGAGUCUUUGAAAUAUAGACCAUGGAGUAUCUUUUUGAUAAUGGAAGUAAAACUGUUUAUGUAAAAUGCUUUUUCUCUGCAAAUAACAACUCAAGAAGAGACCAGGAACUAUAGUCAGAAGGGAUUCUCGUCCUGGGGGGACAUUUCUUGCCUGCGUGGUCUAGGUGGGUUGUGGUCUUCCAGUUUCUGCCCCUAAAUCCAUAUGUGAUCGGCUCCACCUCACAAGGCUGUCAUAAUACUUCACAAGAGAAAUACAAGAAAGCACGCUUUUAAAGCCGUGUGCACAGCUGCUGGUUUUAAUAUCAUUAUCUUUCAGGGAAUUUUUAACUCGUCUCCCAGAGGCUCGAUUGGAUUGAAAAUGUAAGGUCUAUUUAAUGAAAACUAUCAAGGAAGUUCCUGGGGAAAAACUUAGGAGUCGUCAAGCAUUAGGCAAGCCCCAGCUAUGCAGUUUGAAUAAAGCACAGACUGCAGAAGCCGCACGAGCGAAUCCCAGGCCAGGCCUGUCACUCACUGCCAUGUCCCUGGACAACACACUAAGUCUCUUGAAGCCUCUCUUUUCUUGUCCAUAAAAUGGAAUUCACUGUUCACUGAAUGAGAUGAGGUGAGGACUGGAAAUCAUGCCUGGUGUACAGUGAGGGCUGAAUACAAGGUUCGUUCUUUUCUUUUUUUUCUUUUCUUUUCUUUUCUUUUUUUUUUUUUUUUUUUGAGACAGAGUCUGGCUCUGUCACUCAGGCUGGAGUACACUGGCACGAUCUUGCCAACUUUGCACCUCACCUUUGGUUUCAAGUGAUUCUCCUGCCGCUGCCUGAGCUGGGAUCACAGGCUUAUGCCACCAUGCCUGGCUAAUUUUUGUAUUUUUAGCUAAGACAUGGUUUUGCCUGUGG
RNAcentral lists this long non-coding RNA (2328 nucleotides) under Aotus nancymaae (Ma's night monkey). RNAcentral describes it as "lncRNA (ENSANAG00000039133.1)". Lineage: Eukaryota; Metazoa; Chordata; Mammalia; Primates; Aotidae. The record is from RNAcentral.